CCUACGGGAGGCAGCAGUGGGGAAUAUUGGACAAUGGGCGCAAGCCUGAUCCAGCCAUGCCGCGUGUGUGAUGAAGGCCUUAGGGUUGUAAAGCACUUUCGCCGAUGAAGAUAAUGACUGUAGUCGGAGAAGAAGCCCCGGCUAACUUCGUGCCAGCAGCCGCGGUAAUACGAAGGGGGCUAGCGUUGUUCGGAAUUACUGGGCGUAAAGCGUACGUAGGCGGAUUGUUAAGUGAGGGGUGAAAUCCCGAGGCUCAACCUCGGAACUGCCUUUCAUACUGGCAAUCUUGAGUCCGGGAGAGGUGAGUGGAACUCCUAGUGUAGAGGUGAAAUUCGUAGAUAUUAGGAAGAACACCAGUGGCGAAGGCGGCUCACUGGCCCGGAACUGACGCUGAGGUACGAAAGCGUGGGGAGCAAACAGGAUUAGAUACCCUGGUAGUCCACGCCGUAAACGAUGGAUGCUAGCCGUCGGGGAGCUGCUCUCGUGGCGCAGCUACGCAUAGACAUCCGCCGUCGGGAGGUACGGUCGCAGAUAAACUUAAAUAGAUAGAGCGNGAGAGNGCGACGACGACGACGAGGAGAGG
Molecule: ribosomal RNA, 583 nt
Filed under: uncultured bacterium
Lineage: Bacteria
Description: bacterial SSU rRNA
Rfam family: Bacterial small subunit ribosomal RNA (bases 1-511)
Source: RNAcentral